AGCUUAAUGAUAACUAUAUAUUAGGUAGGUUCUGCUCAAUGAUGAUAUUAAAUGGCCGCAGUACUUUGACUGUGCGAAGGUAGCAAAAUAAAUUGGCUUAUAAUUGAAGUCGGGGAUGAAUGAAUUAAUGGAUAUAAGCUGUCUUAAAUAAGUAUUAAUUAAAUUACUUAGUAAGUGAAAAUUCUUACAAAUAUUAUAUUAGACGAGAAGACCCUUGAAAUUUUAACAAGUAUAGUACUAUUACUAAUAAGUUUUUGUUGGGGCGACAAAUUUACACUAUAACUAAAUUUAUCACUUAAUAAUAAUACAAAUUUUAUUAAUUAGAAGUAAAUUACUCAAGGGAUAACAGCAUAAUUUAUAAAUAAGUUUGUGACCUCGAUGUUGGACUAGGAAACUUUAAGUUUAGAAGAUUUUAAGUUAAGUUCUGUUCGAACUUUUUCUCCUACAUG
This 449-nucleotide ribosomal RNA is filed under the name Proserpinula infortunata. RNAcentral describes it as "partial 16S ribosomal RNA". Lineage: Eukaryota; Metazoa; Mollusca; Gastropoda; Stylommatophora; Sagdidae. The record is from RNAcentral.